RNAcentral lists this non-coding RNA (27 nucleotides) under Mus musculus (house mouse). The record is from RNAcentral. Lineage: Eukaryota; Metazoa; Chordata; Mammalia; Rodentia; Muridae.
UGGUCCCCAUGAUUUUGAUUUCAGGAA